AGAGUUUGAUCAUGGCUCAGAUUGAACGCUGGCGGCACGCUUAACACAUGCAAGUCGAGCGGUAGCACAGGGGAGCUUGCUCCCUGGGUGACGAGGCGGCGGACGGGUGAGUAAUGUCUGGGAAACUGCCUGAUGGAGGGGGAUAACUACUGGAAACGGUAGCUAAUACCGCAUAACGUCGCAAGACCAAAGAGGGGGACCUUCGGGCCUCUUGCCAUCAGAUGUGCCCAGAUGGGAUUAGCUAGUAGGUGGGGUAAUGGCUCACCUAGGCGACGAUCCCUGGCUGGUCUGAGAGGAUGACCAGCCACACUGGAACUGAGACACGGUCCAGACUCCUACGGGAGGCAGCAGUGGGGAAUAUUGCACAAUGGGCGCAAGCCCUGAUGCAGCCAUGCCGGCGUGUGUGAAGAAGGCCUUCGGGUUGUAAAGCACUUUCAGCGAGGAGGAAGGUGGUUAUCUUAAUACGGUCAUCAAUUGACGUUACUCGCAGAAGAAGCACCGGCUAACUCCGUG
RNAcentral lists this ribosomal RNA (513 nucleotides) under Serratia marcescens. RNAcentral describes it as "bacterial SSU rRNA". It matches the Rfam family "Bacterial small subunit ribosomal RNA", at positions 8 to 507 of the family's 1533-position model. Lineage: Bacteria; Pseudomonadati; Pseudomonadota; Gammaproteobacteria; Enterobacterales; Yersiniaceae. The record is from RNAcentral.